Molecule: ribosomal RNA, 484 nt
Filed under: uncultured bacterium
Lineage: Bacteria
Description: partial 16S ribosomal RNA
Rfam family: Bacterial small subunit ribosomal RNA
Source: RNAcentral
AUUGAACGCUGGCGGCAUGCCUUACACAUGCAAGUCGAACGGCAGCACGGGUGCUUGCACCUGGUGGCGAGUGGCGAACGGGUGAGUAAUACAUCGGAACAUGUCCUGUAGUGGGGGAUAGCCCGGCGAAAGCCGGAUUAAUACCGCAUACGAUCUACGGAUGAAAGCGGGGGACCUUCGGGCCUCGCGCUAUAGGGUUGGCCGAUGGCUGAUUAGCUAGUUGGUGGGGUAAAGGCCUACCAAGGCGACGAUCAGUAGCUGGUCUGAGAGGACGACCAGCCACACUGGGACUGAGACACGGCCCAGACUCCUACGGGAGGCAGCAGUGGGGAAUUUUGGACGAUGGGCGAAAGCCUGAUCCAGCAAUGCCGCGUGUGAAGAAGGCCUUCGGGUUGUAAAGCACUUUUGUCCGGAAAGAAAUCCUUGGCCCUAAUACGGUCGGGGGAUGACGGUACCGGAAGAAUAAGCACCGGCUAACUACGUG